CCCCUUGUUGUCUAGACUCCUUACUUAUACAUGCAAGCCUCACCACAACAGUGAAACAGCCCACCAAAGCCACCAUCGGAGCCGGUAUCAGGCAGACCGCCCAUGACACCAAGUGAUCCAAGCCACACCCCCACGGGCCUGCAGCAGUAGUUAAUAUUAGGCCAUAAGCGCAAGCUUGACCCAGUAAUGAACCCACAAGGGCCGGUUAAUCUCGUGCCAGCGACCGCGGUUACACGACAGGCCCAAGACAACCCCCUCGGCGUAAAGCACGACUAAAACUAAAAUAUUUAACCAAUUAGGGUUGAAGAUAAACUGGGCUGUAAAAAGCCAUAAGUAACACCAAACACACCCCCUAACAACCAAACACUUCAACUCGUGAAAGCCAGGACACAAACUAAGAUUAGAUACCUUACUAUGCCCGGCCAUAACAAAACAGUCAAAUAACUAAUUGUUCGCCAAAUAACUACGAGUAAAAACUUAAAAUUUAAAAGACUUGACGGUACUUCACACCAACCUAGAGGAGCCUGUCUAAUAACCGAUGAUCCACGAUUAACCCAACCCCCCCUGGCCCAACAGUCUAUAUACCGCCGUCGCCAGCUUACCUUGUGAAAGAAACAAAGUAAGCCCUUUAAUACCCCAUUAACACGACAGGUCGAGGUGUAACCAAUGGGUGGGACCAAGAUGGGCUACAUUUUCUAACCUAGAAAAAACGAACAGACUAUGAAACUAGAAACUGAAGGCGGAUUUAGCAGUAAGCUGGGGAUAAACAUACCCAACUGAAGUCACCGCAAUGAAGUGCGCACACACCGCCCGUCAUCCCUGCAAAACACACUAACCUUUAAUAAACACCACACUACCUCAAAACAGGGCAAGUCGUAACAUGGUAAGCGUACU
This 894-nucleotide non-coding RNA is filed under the name Micropechis ikaheca. The record is from RNAcentral. Lineage: Eukaryota; Metazoa; Chordata; Lepidosauria; Squamata; Elapidae.